UAAUUCGUUGUUUUGAUGAGC
This 21-nucleotide non-coding RNA is filed under the name Caenorhabditis elegans. The record is from RNAcentral. Lineage: Eukaryota; Metazoa; Nematoda; Chromadorea; Rhabditida; Rhabditidae.